This 492-nucleotide ribosomal RNA is filed under the name uncultured bacterium. RNAcentral's name for it is "bacterial SSU rRNA". It matches the Rfam family "Bacterial small subunit ribosomal RNA", at positions 30 to 515 of the family's 1533-position model. The record is from RNAcentral.
AUUGAACGCUGGCGGCAUGCCUUACACAUGCAAGUCGAACGGUAACAGGUCUUCGGAUGCUGACGAGUGGCGAACGGGUGAGUAAUAUAUCGGAACGUGCCCAGUCGUGGGGGAUAACGCAGCGAAAGCUGUGCUAAUACCGCAUACGAUCUAUGGAUGAAAGCGGGGGAUCGCAAGACCUCGCGCGAUUGGAGCGGCCGAUAUCAGAUUAGGUAGUUGGUGGGGUAAAGGCCCACCAAGCCAACGAUCUGUAGCUGGUCUGAGAGGACGACCAGCCACACUGGAACUGAGACACGGUCCAGACUCCUACGGGAGGCAGCAGUGGGGAAUUUUGGACAAUGGGCGCAAGCCUGAUCCAGCAAUGCCGCGUGCAGGAUGAAGGCCUUCGGGUUGUAAACUGCUUUUGUACGGAACGAAAAGGACUCUGGUUAAUACCUGGGGCGUCAUGACGGUACCGUAAGAAUAAGCACCGGCUAACUACGUGCCAGCACG